UACGGGGGGAGCAAGCGUUGUUCGGAUUCAUUGGGCGUAAAGGGCGCGUAGGCGGCUUGGCAAGUCCGACAUGAAAUGUACCGGUUCAACCGGGGCACUGUGUCGGAAACUGCCUGGCUUGAGGUCGAGGGAGGAGAGUGGAAUUCUUGGUGUAGCGGUGAAAUGCGUAGAUAUCAGGAGGAACACCCGUGGCGAAGGCGGCUCUCUAUCUCGAUUCUGACGCUGAGGCGCGAAAGCUAGGGGAGCAAACGGG
This 253-nucleotide ribosomal RNA is filed under the name uncultured bacterium. Its description in RNAcentral is "partial 16S ribosomal RNA". It matches the Rfam family "Bacterial small subunit ribosomal RNA", at positions 524 to 776 of the family's 1533-position model. The record is from RNAcentral.